Molecule: ribosomal RNA, 325 nt
Filed under: uncultured Spirochaetota bacterium
Lineage: Bacteria; Pseudomonadati; Spirochaetota
Description: bacterial SSU rRNA
Rfam family: Bacterial small subunit ribosomal RNA
Source: RNAcentral
GACGAACGCUGGCGGCGUGGAUUAGGCAUGCAAGUCGAACGGUAGAGUGCUUUCGGGCACUUGAGAGUGGCGAACGGGUGAGUAACACGUAGGUUAUCUACCCUCAAAUUGGGGACAACCCAGGGAAACUUGGGCUAAUACCGAAUGAGUGCGUCUUUAGGGAUGCAUAAAAGGUGGCAGUAAUGCUGUUGUUUGAGGAUGAGCCUGCGCUCUAUUAGUUAGUUGGUGAGGUAACGGCUUACCAAGGCGAUGAUAGAUAGGCGGCCUUAACGGGUGGUCGCCCACACUGGGAUUGAGAUACGGCCCAGACUCCUACGGGAGGCAG